ACUUAAAGCGUUAGCUUCGGCACAGAGAGGGUCGAUACCCCCUAUACCUAGUAUUCAACGUUUAGGGUGUGGACUACACGGGUAUCUAAUCCGUUUCGCUCCCCACACUUUCGGGCCUCAACGUCAGGAGCAUCCUAGAAAGCCGCCUUCGCCACUGGUGUUCCUCACGAUAUCUACGCAUUUCACCGCUACACCGUGAAUUCCGCUUUCUUCUGAUGCCCUCAAGCUCCCCAGUAUCAAUUGCAGUCUCCCAAUUGAGUCGAGAGAUUUCACAACUGACUUAAAGAACCGUCUACACCCUCUUUACGCCCAGUAAAUCCGGAUAACGUUCGCCUUCUACGUAUUACCGCGGCUGCUGGCACGUAGUUAGCCAAGACUUAUUCCCCGAGUACCGUCAUAUUUCUUCCUCGGGAAAAGGGGUUUACAACCCGAAGGCCGUCAUCCCCCACGCGGCGUCGCUGCGUCAGGCUUUCGCCCAUUGCGCAAAAUUCCUUGCUGCUGCCUCCCGUAG
This 511-nucleotide ribosomal RNA is filed under the name uncultured Chloroflexota bacterium. Its description in RNAcentral is "uncultured Chloroflexi bacterium partial 16S ribosomal RNA". Lineage: Bacteria; Bacillati; Chloroflexota. The record is from RNAcentral.